RNAcentral lists this long non-coding RNA (1363 nucleotides) under Equus caballus (horse). RNAcentral's name for it is "lncRNA (ENSECAG00000058128.1)". Lineage: Eukaryota; Metazoa; Chordata; Mammalia; Perissodactyla; Equidae. The record is from RNAcentral.
AUCAAAUUGGGCGCCCCACCCAGGUUGCUGCUAACUUGGUUGCUGAAGGAUUGGAGUUAUUUGAAUUCUUCUGUCCUCUUUCCUGUUUGUAACACUUUCCUUUUUGUGGGAGUACCACAGGGGAAUUCCUCAUCUGUUAUGUUUUACUUUAUCACGUCUUGUAAACCACAUUUUAUAAUUAUUUUAACAAUAAGCUACUGCUGUGAAGGUGCAGGGAGAAUGCUAUGUACAAGCCAAGGAAGAUCUGAGGCCCCCAGAAGCUGGGAGAGAGGUGUGGGGCAGCUUCUCCCUUACAGCCCUCAGAAGGAACCCACCCUCCUGAUACCUUGCUCUUGGACUUCUAGCCUCUGGAACCAGAGCUUCCUGGAGGAACUGAUUCUGAGGUUUGUUGAGACAUAAAGGAUGAAGGCAAAAUGGGCAGGGAAGAGUGCUCCACAUAGAGGGAACGGCACGUGAAGAAGUCUGGAGGUGAAGUUCGUGGCUGCUUCUGAGAAUAGAAUGUGUGUUCUGUCAGCAGCUAAGAGCACAGAUCUGGGUGCUGAUCAAGACCCCGAAGCAGGCCUGAGAAAACGCAGAACUGAGAAUGUAAACUUCACGAAGGAAAAUUUUGUUCACUGCUGUGUGCCUAGAAAGGACAGUUCCAGACACUGAGAGAAAGAUAAAUAAAUAUUUGUGGAGUGAAUGAAAAAUUGAAUGAAAAGAUGACUGCCAGACCUCUGAGCACGAGCUGUUCCUGACAUCGUUUCUGUCAAUUUCCUAGAGACCCAGGAUCCAGUCACGAGUCCCUCAUGGGGCUGGAUCAGGAGACAUCACCAUGCAUUUGUCAGAGUCCAUUAUGCCCCCUGCUGAAGAAGGCUGUGAUCUUCAGUCGACCUCUUUGUGUCCACUGUCCUCUUCACUUCCAGUGAACGUAUCCCGGAUGAUCCUCAGUCUGUCUUGCAAAUAGACUUGGACAUGUCCCUUCAGAUCGGCAGACAGGCCUGACUCCAGCAGUGUGUUGGGCUUGAGCUCAAAGCUGGGACACAAACGAUGCUUAUAUUGAGCUGAAAACAAUCACUCUGCAUUUAUUACCCCAAAGCCCUUCUUAUACUCCCCAGGACUACACAGAACAAGCAUAAUUCCCUUCUAACAUGUCCACCUAACAAGACUGAAGCCAGCUCUCUUUUCCUGCUCCCCUUAAAACUAUUUUCUAGGUAAAGCACGCUCAGGACUUUCUACCAUUCUUCAGAUGACACGUUUCAUGUUUUUUCAUCGUUUGGGCCCCUUUCCUCUUAAUAUGCUCUGGCCUGUCUGUGACCUUCUAAACAUGUGAGGUCAAAGAGACUAUCUGCCUGGCCAGGAAAGAUUGGAGUAGACUAUCACC